RNAcentral lists this ribosomal RNA (433 nucleotides) under uncultured bacterium. RNAcentral describes it as "partial 16S ribosomal RNA". It matches the Rfam family "Bacterial small subunit ribosomal RNA", at positions 29 to 507 of the family's 1533-position model. The record is from RNAcentral.
AACGAACGCUGGCGGCAGGCCUAACACAUGCAAGUCGAGCGAGGACUUCGGUCCUAGCGGCGGACGGGUGAGUAACGCGUGGGAACGUGCCCUUUGCUUCGGAAUAGCCCUGGGAAACUGGGAGUAAUACCGGAUGAGCCCUUUGGGGGAAAGAUUUAUCGGCGAAGGAUCGGCCCGCGUUGGAUUAGGUAGUUGGUGGGGUAAUGGCCUACCAAGCCGACGAUCCAUAGCUGGUUUGAGAGGAUGAUCAGCCACACUGGGACUGAGACACGGCCCAGACUCCUACGGGAGGCAGCAGUAGGGAAUCUUAGACAAUGGGGGAAACCCUGAUCUAGCCAUGCCGCGUGAGCGAUGAAGGCCUUAGGGUUGUAAAGCUCUUUCAGCUGGGAAGAUAAUGACGGUACCAGCAGAAGAAGCCCCGGCUAACUCCGUG